RNAcentral lists this ribosomal RNA (207 nucleotides) under Salmonella enterica. Its description in RNAcentral is "partial 23S ribosomal RNA". It matches the Rfam family "Bacterial large subunit ribosomal RNA", at positions 1293 to 1504 of the family's 2925-position model. Lineage: Bacteria; Pseudomonadati; Pseudomonadota; Gammaproteobacteria; Enterobacterales; Enterobacteriaceae. The record is from RNAcentral.
AAUGCUGACAUAAGUAACGAUAAAGCGGGUGAAAAGCCCGCUCGCCGGAAGACCAAGGGUUCCUGUCCAACGUUAAUCGGGGCAGGGUGAGUCGACCCCUAAGGCGAGGCCGAAAGGCGUAGUCGAUGGGAAACGGGUUAAUAUUCCCGUACUUGGUGUUACUGCGAAGGGGGGACGGAGAAGGCUAUGUUGGCCGGGCGACGGUUG